Molecule: ribosomal RNA, 492 nt
Filed under: uncultured bacterium
Lineage: Bacteria
Description: partial 16S ribosomal RNA
Rfam family: Bacterial small subunit ribosomal RNA
Source: RNAcentral
AGUGAACGCUGGCGGUAGGCCUAACACAUGCAAGUCGAACGGCAGCACAGUAAGAGCUUUCUCGUACGGGUGGCGAGUGGCGGACGGGUGAGGAAUACAUCGGAAUCUACUUUUUCUUGGUGGAUAACGUAGGGAAACUUACGCUAAUACCGCAUACGACCUACGGGUGAAAGCAUGGGAUCUUCGGACCUUGCGCGAUUGAAUGAGCCGAUGUCGGAUUAGCUAGUUGGCGGGGUAAAGGCCCACCAAGGCGACGAUCCGUAGCUGGUCUGAGAGGAUGAUCAGCCACACUGGAACUGAGACACGGUCCAGACUCCUACGGGAGGCAGCAGUGGGGAAUAUUGGACAAUGGGCGCAAGCCUGAUCCAGCCAUACCGCGUGGGUGAAGAAGGCCUUCGGGUUGUAAAGCCCUUUUGUUGGGAAAGAAAAGCAGCAGGUUAAUACCCCGCUGUUCUGACGGUACCCAAAGAAUAAGCACCGGCUAACUUCGUG